RNAcentral lists this ribosomal RNA (492 nucleotides) under uncultured bacterium. RNAcentral's name for it is "partial 16S ribosomal RNA". It matches the Rfam family "Bacterial small subunit ribosomal RNA", at positions 29 to 507 of the family's 1533-position model. The record is from RNAcentral.
AGUGAACGCUGGCGGUAGGCCUAACACAUGCGAGUCGAACGGCAGCACAGUAAGAGCUUGCUCUUACGGGUGGCGAGUGGCGGACGGGUGAGGAAUACAUCGGAAUCUACUUUUUCGUGGGGGAUAACGUAGGGAAACUUACGCUAAUACCGCAUACGACCUACGGGUGAAAGCAGGGGAUCUUCGGACCUUGCGCGAUUGAAUGAGCCGAUGUCGGAUUAGCUAGUUGGCGGGGUAAAGGCCCACCAAGGCGACGAUCCGUAGCUGGUCUGAGAGGAUGAUCAGCCACACUGGAACUGAGACACGGUCCAGACUCCUACGGGAGGCAGCAGUGGGGAAUAUUGGACAAUGGGCGCAAGCCUGAUCCAGCCAUACCGCGUGGGUGAAGAAGGCCUUCGGGUUGUAAAGCCCUUUUGUUGGGAAAGAGAAGCAGCAGGUUAAUACCCCGCUGUUCUGACGGUACCCAAAGAAUAAGCACCGGCUAACUUCGUG